AGGUUUGACCAAUUAUUUGCUGCAUUAAAAAGGUUUACACAUGAAUUGUAAUUCCUGUUAAUUUUGACGAUUUUUUACCCAGUUGUUUGUGUACGAUUUCUUAUUUUAAU
This is a long non-coding RNA of Sebastes umbrosus (honeycomb rockfish), 110 nucleotides long. RefSeq lists it as uncharacterized. The transcript has 2 exons. Lineage: Eukaryota; Metazoa; Chordata; Actinopteri; Perciformes; Sebastidae. The record is from RefSeq and is a predicted model, not a curated record.